GUGCUUGCUUUGGCAGCACAUAUAUUAAAAUUGGGCUGAUAUAGAGAAGAUUAGCAUGGUCCUAUGCAAGGAUGACAUGCAAAUUCGUGAAGCAUUCCAUAUUUUA
Molecule: small nuclear RNA, 106 nt
Filed under: Dasypus novemcinctus (nine-banded armadillo)
Lineage: Eukaryota; Metazoa; Chordata; Mammalia; Cingulata; Dasypodidae
Source: RNAcentral